ACUGCCCAAUUGUGGAGUUUCACUCGAGUGGAACAAGUAAUAAGAGAAAUAUGCAGCUCUCCCUGCCUUCAUUGAGCUUCUUAGGUGGCCAGGAGCAAACAGCGUGCCUCCCUCCUGCAAAGCACUUAACUGGGACCUGGGGCUGUGGGAUUGGAGCUAGGCUGCCAUGCAGAACAGCUCCCGCUGAACUCCAAAGAGAAGCAGCUCCUGAGAUAAAAGCUGAAGAGUUGAUCUUCCUUUGAAUUGGAAAGGAUUUCACAUUAAAAAGUUUGAACCAGUAUCCGUGCACAAGCGCAGAUGACUGCAGCCAGAAGUUGCUGAGGGGUUUAACUCGCCUUAUUAAUGUCAGCAGGAUGCUAAAUGCUCUGGAGUUGAUUGGACGGAGGGUCUGGAGCACAGCAAGUCCAGUUGUUAGCUUCCAUCUCCCUGCGCCUCAGUUUCUCGCUGUUGCAUGGUAAUGCACGGUGACAUUGUGCUGAGAAAUGAAUCAUUGCUGAAGCCUGCACCUUGGUUAGAAACCACAAGCCAGGUUCAUGAGGAAAUGAGCACUUUUCUGUUUGACACGGGAUUUGGAUGUUGUGUACUAAAUAAUGAUUAGGGUCAUAAAAAUCUGCAGUGAACAAUUAUCCAUUCAGUGAACAAGGCAGGUGUUUGGGGGGAAAAAUAGGAGGCAGUUGGGUAAUUAGUCUGUACCAGAACGCGUGAGCUCAAGUGGGGCUAAUAAAAUGUGCACAGGCAAUUUUAAAUCUGGCAAGUCCUUUCCUCUGAGCACCUGACUCGGAAACCAUGUUACAUUUCAGCAUAAUUUCUGAUGGAACACUGCAUUCUGAUUGCAGACAUUCCUGUCCAAAAUUGCAGGGUGCUUUCUGCCCAAAGCUUGGGCAUUGUAGCAGUUCGAGGUGUGGAAGAAACAACGGGAGAGAUGGUUGGUUGGAGUGGGGAGGGGGAAUGGCUGCUGCGUAGAGCUGGUUGGGCAAGGGCAACAGCAUCACUAAUCCACCCUCCUCCUGCAAUCCCCAGCUUUUCACUGAGCAGAAAGCAGCAUCCAGGGGGAUCUGUUUGCCUCUCUGUAGGUGGAGCUGCAAGGCUCAGCAGGGAGCUCUGACCAUGCACAGCAGUGAGCAUGCCAUGCCAGUCCCUUGCUCCAAAGGAGCCCAGCACCCACCUGCUGCAGGACUGGCAUGAGCAGGAGCUGCAUGCGGUGCCCAGUGCUGGCAUGUGCCCCCCACAGCAACAGCCUGGCUCCCUCAGCAGGUGAAAAUGUUUCAUCUCCAAUAACCACUUGUCUCAUUAUCCAGCUGCGCUAGUUUUGCACUAUCUGGUUACCGCCUGGCUUGGAGACACCUGUUCUGUGUCCAGGCAUUUUAGAGAAAAACUCUCCAAAGCUGUCAACAGACAGAGAAGGGCUGCCUGUUUCCAUGGGAACGUGCUCCCUGAGCCCUGCAUGCAAGGAGUGCUGCGGAUUGCCGGACACUGCUGGGAGAGCCAGGAUUGAUCCUGGGCAUUGCUGUGAGGUGCACUGCCUGUAGGCGAAGUGGGAAGGGGACACAAUGGGGAGCACAGCACCAUGUCCCUGCCAAGGGGACAGAAGGGAUGGCUGGGUG
Numida meleagris (helmeted guineafowl) is the source of this 1604-nucleotide long non-coding RNA. RefSeq lists it as uncharacterized. The transcript is spliced from 3 exons. The record is from RefSeq and is a predicted model, not a curated record. NCBI's taxonomy places the organism in Eukaryota, Metazoa, Chordata, Aves, Galliformes, Numididae.